This 429-nucleotide ribosomal RNA is filed under the name Pseudomonadota bacterium. Its description in RNAcentral is "Proteobacteria bacterium partial 16S ribosomal RNA". It matches the Rfam family "Bacterial small subunit ribosomal RNA", at positions 355 to 776 of the family's 1533-position model. Lineage: Bacteria; Pseudomonadati; Pseudomonadota. The record is from RNAcentral.
UGGGGAAUAUUGGACAAUGGGCGAAAGCCUGAUCCAGCCAUGCCGCGUGUGUGAAGAAGGUCUUCGGAUUGUAAAGCACUUUAAGUUGGGAGGAAGGGCAGUAAGCGAAUACCUUGCUGUUUUGACGUUACCGACAGAAUAAGCACCGGCUAACUCUGUGCCAGCAGCCGCGGUAAUACAGAGGGUGCAAGCGUUAAUCGGAAUUACUGGGCGUAAAGCGCGCGUAGGUGGUUCGUUAAGUUGAAUGUGAAAGCCCCGGGCUCAACCUGGGAACUGCAUCCAAAACUGGCGAGCUAGAGUAGGGCAGAGGGUGGUGGAAUUUCCUGUGUAGCGGUGAAAUGCGUAGAUACAGGAAGGAACACCAGUGGCGAAGGCGACCACCUGGGCUCAUACUGACACUGAGGUGCGAAAGCGUGGGGAGCAAACAGG